AGUCAAAAAUCUUUCAUGUAGUAAUAUUUACUGCACAAUAAUCAUUUAUUUGUCUUCUCAAACAAUCAAACCCCGAGGGCCAAUUCCGUCAUUAUUCCUUCGUCCAACUCCGCGAUCUAGAUGCUGCAGCACUCCCCCAGCUUCUCGCUUCUCUAGAUCCACCACUCCGCCACCGUACCGGAAACUCCAUAUCCAAAUCUCCAUACUCCGGGAAUGGCUUCUUCCGAAGCCGAUUCCCGCUUAAUCCGAGUCCUCACCCCCGCCUUCGACAAGAUCGUCAAAAAUGCGACGUGGCGCAAGCACUCCAAACUCGCCGCCGAGUGCAAAUCCGUUAUCGAACACCUCACCUCACCCAACCAAAACCCUACCCCCGUAUCCUCACCCCCUGCGUCCCCCUCCGGCCAAUCCGAUUCCGACACGUCGUCACACCCCGGCGUUCUCCUGGAUCUCUCACUGGCAGACUCCGAAAUCGUUCUCAGCCCCCUAAUCAAUGCGCUCUACUCUAACUACGCUAAAGUUACCGAACCUGCUCUUGAUGCAGUGCAGAAGCUGAUUGCCCAUGGAUAUUUGCACGGCGAAGCGGACCCGAGCGGAGGCCCGGGCGGCAAAUUGCUCUCCAAAUUGAUCGAUUCCGCGUGCAAGUGCCACGAUUUGGGGGAUGAGAAUGUGGAAUUGUUGGUGAUCAAGAGCGAUUCUGUCUGCUGUUACUUCGGUCUCUCUUCGGAUACACGGCGAUUGCUUGUGCAGGUGGGAGGACUGUACGNNNNNNNNNNNNNNNNNNNNNNNNNNNNNNNNNNNNNNNNNNNNNNNNNNNNNNNNNNNNNNNNNNNNNNNNNNNNNNNNNNNNNNNNNNNNNNNNNNNNCGAUACGAUAUUUACGAUAUUAGUCAAAAUAUUUAAAAAAAAAAAUACAAAAAAAAUGAAAUAUUCACAAUUUCAAGGCUGAAAAACGGAUUUCAAAAUAACCCUUCAAAUUCACAACCCUAAUCCACCUGUCUCACUUCAAUUUCUUCAAAAAAUUAUCACAAUAUGGCAACCCGCCUAACUCAAUUUCUAUAGAUUCUUGUUAUUUUUUGCGAGUCAAGUGCGAAUUUAUGAGUGACAGAUUAGUCUUUUAGAAAUUAUGAGUGAUAGAUUAGUCUUUUAGAAAUUAUGGAUUCGAAUUUGAACUUUGCUGAUGUAUUUUAAGAGCAACUAUGAUUUUUUUCCUAUUUUAUAAUGCAAUUUUGAAAUUUGAAACUUGAUUUGACUUUAAAAUAUUAAAUUUUACAUGUCUAUAGUAUUUCUAUUAUGUAAAUAUAUAUAUUUUAUUAUUUUAAAUAGUUGGUUAAAUAUCAUACGAUACGAUAUGAUACGAUACACGGCGGAAAACGAUAUGCCGAUAUUUUCCGAUUCGAUAACCAUGAUAUAUAUAAUGUUAAAGCAAGAAAAGCACAUGUGUUUUAUUCUCAAUUAAUACGUUUUCUGUUAAUUAAUUAUGUUAUUCAAUUAUUAAAUAAAAAAUACUCAAAUGAUAUAAAAUCAAUAAAAAAAAAAUUAAAAGUAAAUAAAUAAACACAAAUACAAAUAAAUGAAUUUGUUGUACGGAUAUUUAUCGGCCCACUGUAUUAGUGGACGGUCCAUAUCCAGCCCAACUAAACUAGUUUAGAGCACGUAGAAUUAUUACUUGGCCCACUUCUUCUUCCUUUUUUUUUUCUUCUUUUCUUUCUAAAUAGCUUUUCUAAGAAAUUAUUUAGUCUUUCUAAAAUAAUUAAAAGAAAAAAAAUUAUAUAUUCUCAUCAAUUCGAUUUUAUUUUAUAGGAACCAAUAAGACAGAAGCUUGAAAGGGAUGAACGCGCUCCUAGCGGAAAAUACCGGCCGCGAAAACAUAUGGGACGAGUAUGCCGUAUGGGGACUAACGAAACCGAAUAAGUACCAGGAAUGAAUUUUGCUAUAUCUGUCCCGUAUCCCCGUCCCGCAGCCCUGGCCCGUCAUUGUAUUUUAAUAUGUACAUAUAUUUAGUUGGAGCAUUAUUUUAAAUUAAUUUUUCAUUUAAUCUUAUUUCCAUAAUUUUAGCUCCUUUCCAUGAAACUUAAUUUUUUUUUUAUUUUUUUUAGCUCGUUUUCACAUAAAUAAUUUGAAAAACAUAUAUAUGUACAUUUAAUUUUCAUGGAUUUGUCGGGGUGGAUACCCGUAUAUUGUUUAAUGGGUCGAGAAUGGGAAUAUUCGACGUAGAAUUUUUAAGAGAACAUAAAUAGAGACUUUGAGAGUAGACGAGGAUGGAGAUUGCAAAACCGGCCGCAUAGCAGUGCCACUAUCAUCAUGGAUUCUUGAUCAUGUAUUGUCAUCAAUUGAAUAGUCAACUACUGUGCAAUCAAAAUAAUCAAAAAAAUCAUGCUCUCCAUUUUGACCACACCUUCAUUACUCGCACAUUAAAUAAAUUAAAUAAAAAAAUAUCCAUAAUUUCGAAUAAUUAAAUUAAGAUAUCACCUUGAAAGAAGAGAAACACUACUAAAAACUCUUUAGAGUCAAAAAUCUUUCAUGUAGUAAUAUUUACUGCACAAUAAUCAUUUAUUUGUCUUCUCAAACAAUCAAACCCCGAGGGCCAAUUCCGUCAUUAUUCCUUCGUCCAACUCCGCGAUCUAGAUGCUGCAGCACUCCCCCAGCUUCUCGCUUCUCUAGAUCCACCACUCCGCCACCGUACCGGAAACUCCAUAUCCAAAUCUCCAUACUCCGGGAAUGGCUUCUUCCGAAGCCGAUUCCCGCUUAAUCCGAGUCCUCACCCCCGCCUUCGACAAGAUCGUCAAAAAUGCGACGUGGCGCAAGCACUCCAAACUCGCCGCCGAGUGCAAAUCCGUUAUCGAACACCUCACCUCACCCAACCAAAACCCUACCCCCGUAUCCUCACCCCCUGCGUCCCCCUCCGGCCAAUCCGAUUCCGACACGUCGUCACACCCCGGCGUUCUCCUGGAUCUCUCACUGGCAGACUCCGAAAUCGUUCUCAGCCCCCUAAUCAAUGCGCUCUACUCUAACUACGCUAAAGUUACCGAACCUGCUCUUGAUGCAGUGCAGAAGCUGAUUGCCCAUGGAUAUUUGCACGGCGAAGCGGACCCGAGCGGAGGCCCGGACGGCAAAUUGCUCUCCAAAUUGAU
RNAcentral lists this long non-coding RNA (3130 nucleotides) under Erythranthe guttata (spotted monkey flower). RNAcentral describes it as "long non-coding RNA (EGUT_LNC001802)". Lineage: Eukaryota; Viridiplantae; Streptophyta; Magnoliopsida; Lamiales; Phrymaceae. The record is from RNAcentral.